Molecule: ribosomal RNA, 133 nt
Filed under: uncultured bacterium
Lineage: Bacteria
Description: partial 16S ribosomal RNA
Rfam family: Bacterial small subunit ribosomal RNA
Source: RNAcentral
UGGGCGAAAGCCUGAUCCAGCAAUGCCGCGUGAGUGAUGAAGGCCUUAGGGUUGUAAAGCUCCUUUACCAGGGAUGAUAAUGACAGUACCUGGAGAAUAAGCUCCGGCUAACUCCGUGCCAGCAGCCGCGGUA